CAAUAGCGUAUAUUUAAGUUGUUGCAGUUAAAAAGCUCGUAGUUGGAUUUCGGGUGGGACGCAGCGGUCUCGCAUUGCGUUUGUACUGCUGCAGCCCUCCUUCUUGCCGGGGGCGGCCUCUCGGACUUCACUGUCUGGGGGUCAGAAUCGGCGAUGUUACUUUGAGUAAAUUAGAGUGUUCAAAGCAAGCUUACGCUCUGAAUAUAAUAGCAUGGGAUAACACGACAGGACUCUGGCCUAUCGUGUUGGUCUAUAGGACCAGAGUAAUGAUUAAGAUGGACAGUCGGGGGCAUUCGUAUUCCGUUGUCAGAGGUGAAAUUCUUGGAUUUACGGAAGACGAACAUCUGCGAAAGCAUUUGCCAAGGAUGUUUUCAUUGA
Molecule: ribosomal RNA, 378 nt
Filed under: uncultured eukaryote
Lineage: Eukaryota
Description: partial 18S ribosomal RNA
Rfam family: Eukaryotic small subunit ribosomal RNA
Source: RNAcentral